This 109-nucleotide unclassified non-coding RNA is filed under the name Cytospora chrysosperma. RNAcentral describes it as "Valsa sordida ITS2". The record is from RNAcentral. Lineage: Eukaryota; Fungi; Ascomycota; Sordariomycetes; Diaporthales; Cytosporaceae.
UUCAACCCUCAAGCCCAGCUUGGUGUUGGGGCAUUACCUUCCCUCACGGGAGGGUAAGCCCUGAAAUUUAGUGGCGAGCUCGCCAGGACUCCGAGCGCAGUAGUAAAAC